This 109-nucleotide ribosomal RNA is filed under the name uncultured eukaryote. RNAcentral describes it as "partial small subunit ribosomal RNA". It matches the Rfam family "Eukaryotic small subunit ribosomal RNA", at positions 1676 to 1785 of the family's 1831-position model. The record is from RNAcentral.
UCGCUCCUACCGAUUGAGUGAUCCGGUGAAUAACUCGGACUGAUGCAAUGCUCAGCUCCUGGACUUUGCGUUGGAAAGUUUAGUGAACCUUAUCACUUAGAGGAAGGAG